RNAcentral lists this transfer RNA (75 nucleotides) under Vitis vinifera (wine grape). Its description in RNAcentral is "tRNA-Tyr". It matches the Rfam family "tRNA". From Rfam's summary of the family: Transfer RNA (tRNA) molecules are approximately 80 nucleotides in length. Their secondary structure includes four short double-helical elements and three loops (D, anti-codon, and T loops). The record is from RNAcentral. Lineage: Eukaryota; Viridiplantae; Streptophyta; Magnoliopsida; Vitales; Vitaceae.
CCGGCUUUAGCUCAGUUGGUAGAGCGGAGGACUGUAGUGAUCCUUAGGUCGCUGGUUCGAAUCCGGCAAGCCGGA